UUAAAUUGAAGAGUUUGAUCAUGGCUCAGAUUGAACGCUGGCGGCAGGCCUAACACAUGCAAGUCGAACGGUAACAGGAAGCAGCUUGCUGCUUUGCUGACGAGUGGCGGACGGGUGAGUAAUGUCUGGGAAACUGCCUGAUGGAGGGGGAUAACUACUGGAAACGGUAGCUAAUACCGCAUAACGUCGCAAGACCAAAGAGGGGGACCUUAGGGCCUCUUGCCAUCGGAUGUGCCCAGAUGGGAUUAGCUAGUAGGUGGGGUAACUGCUCACCUAGGCGACGAUCCCUAGCUGGUCUGAGAGGAUGACCAGCCACACUGGAACUGAGACACGGUCCAGACUCCUACGGGAGGCAGCAGUGGGGAAUAUUGCACAAUGGGCGCAAGCCUGAUGCAGCCAUGCCGCGUGUAUGAAGAAG
Molecule: ribosomal RNA, 418 nt
Filed under: Escherichia coli
Lineage: Bacteria; Pseudomonadati; Pseudomonadota; Gammaproteobacteria; Enterobacterales; Enterobacteriaceae
Description: bacterial SSU rRNA
Rfam family: Bacterial small subunit ribosomal RNA
Source: RNAcentral